GUUCUUAGCUGCGGUGUGUGAUGAUUUAAACAACGCCUCGAUGCUGUAGGAUGUUGGUGCUCACAAAUUAGUGGGAAUGCUCACAAAGAGCCAUUGCAUUAUAAAAGACUCAAACAUAAAAUUCCUCCAAAGAUGGUGAGUACUUUUGGUGAGUACAAAAUUAUUU
Molecule: long non-coding RNA, 166 nt
Filed under: Fukomys damarensis (Damara mole-rat)
Lineage: Eukaryota; Metazoa; Chordata; Mammalia; Rodentia; Bathyergidae
Description: lncRNA (ENSFDAG00000021725.1)
Source: RNAcentral